GCAUAUCAAUAAGCGGAGGAAAAGAAACUAACACAGUAUUCCUUAGUACGGCGAGUGACCGGGAAAAGCUCAAAUUUGUAAUCUGGCUGUCUUCGAUAGUCCGAGUUGUAAUCUAUAGACGUGUUUUCCGUGCUGGACCGUAUCUAAGUCCCUUGGAACAGGGUAUCAAAGAGGGUGACAAUCCCGUGCUUGAUACGACCACCAGUGCUCUGUGAUACACGCUCUACGAGUCGAGUUGUUUGGGAAUGCAGCUCAAAAUGGGUGGUAAAUUCCAUCUAAAGCUAAAUAUUGGCGAGAGACCGAUAGCGAACAAGUACCGUGAGGGAAAGAUGAAAAGCACUUUGGAAAGAGAGUUAAACAGUACGUGAAAUUGUUGAAAGGGAAACGAUUGAAGUCAGUCGUGUUCUUUGGAUUCAGCUAGUUCUUCUAGUCUACUUCCUUUGAACGGGUCAACAUCAGUUUUGUCCGGUGGAUAAAGAUAGUAGGAAUGUAGCUCCCUCGGGAGUGUUAUAGACUAUUAUUGCAUGCACUGGGUGAGACUGAGGACUGCAGCUCGCCUUUUGGCCGGCCUUCGGGUACGUUCGAGCUUAGGAUGUUGACAUAAUGGCUUUAAACGACCCGUCUUGAAACACGGACC
Molecule: ribosomal RNA, 637 nt
Filed under: Cutaneotrichosporon moniliiforme
Lineage: Eukaryota; Fungi; Basidiomycota; Tremellomycetes; Trichosporonales; Trichosporonaceae
Description: eukaryotic LSU rRNA
Rfam family: Eukaryotic large subunit ribosomal RNA
Source: RNAcentral